Molecule: ribosomal RNA, 441 nt
Filed under: uncultured bacterium
Lineage: Bacteria
Description: bacterial SSU rRNA
Rfam family: Bacterial small subunit ribosomal RNA
Source: RNAcentral
AAUUCGCCCUUAGAGUUUGAUCCUGGCUCAGAAUGAACGCUGGCGGCGUGCUUAACACAUGCAAGUCGAACGAUGAAGCCUAGCUUGCUAGGUGGAUUAGUGGCGCACGGGUGAGUAAUAUAUAGAUAACGUGCCUCUUAGUCUGGGAUAGCCAUUGGAAACGAUGAUUAAUACUAGAUACUCCUUCUCUUUAUAAUUAGAGUUGGGAAAGUUUUUCGCUAAGAGAUCGGUCUAUAUCCCAUCAGCUUGUUGGCAGUGUAAGAGACUACCAAGGCAAUGACGGGUAGCGGGUUUGAGAGGAUGAUCCGCCACACUGGUACUGAGACACGGACCAGACUCCUACGGGAGGCAGCAGUGAGGAAUAUUGCACAAUGGAGGAAACUCUGAUGCAGCAACGCCGCGUGGAGGAUGACGCAUUUCGGUGUGUAAACUCCUUUUAUA